This 433-nucleotide ribosomal RNA is filed under the name uncultured bacterium. RNAcentral's name for it is "partial 16S ribosomal RNA". It matches the Rfam family "Bacterial small subunit ribosomal RNA", at positions 29 to 507 of the family's 1533-position model. The record is from RNAcentral.
AACGAACGCUGGCGGCAUGCCUAACACAUGCAAGUCGAACGAUCCCUUCGGGGAUAGUGGCGCACGGGUGCGUAACGCGUGGGAACCUGCCCUUAGGUUCGGAAUAACUCAGAGAAAUUUGAGCUAAUACCGGAUAAUGUAUUCGGACCAAAGAUUUAUCGCCUUUGGAUGGGCCCGCGUUGGAUUAGCUAGUUGGUGGGGUAAAGGCCUACCAAGGCGACGAUCCAUAGCUGGUCUGAGAGGAUGAUCAGCCACACUGGGACUGAGACACGGCCCAGACUCCUACGGAAGGGAGCAGUGGGUAAUAUUGGACAAGGGGCGAAGGCCUGAUCCAGCAAUGCCGGGUGAGUGAUGAAGGCCGUAGGGUAGUAAAGCUCUUUUACCCGGGAUGAUAAUGACGGUACCGGGAGAAUAAGCCCCGUCUAACUCCGUG